This 441-nucleotide ribosomal RNA is filed under the name uncultured ammonia-oxidizing bacterium. RNAcentral's name for it is "bacterial SSU rRNA". It matches the Rfam family "Bacterial small subunit ribosomal RNA", at positions 212 to 645 of the family's 1533-position model. The record is from RNAcentral.
CCCAUGCGUGGUGGAGCGGCGAUAUCUGAUUAGCUAGUUGGUGGGGUAAAGGCCCACCAAGGCGACGAUCAGUAGCUGGUCUGAGAGGACGACCAGCCACACUGGAACUGAGACACGGUCCAGACUCCUACGGGAGGCAGCAGUGGGGAAUUUUGGACAAUGGGCGCAAGCCUGAUCCAGCCAUUCCGCGUGAGUGAAGAAGGCCUUCGGGUUGUAAAGCUCUUUCGCGAGGGAAGAAAACUUACUUUCUAAUAAAGAGUGAGGCUGACGGUACCUUGAUAAGAAGCACCGGCUAACUACGUGCCAGCAGCCGCGGUAAUACGUAGGGUGCGAGCGUUAAUCGGAAUUACUGGGCGUAAAGCGUGCGCAGGCGGUUUUGUAAGUCAAAUGUGAAAUCCCCGGGCUCAACCUGGGAACUGCGUUUGAAAUACAAAGGCUAGA